Molecule: ribosomal RNA, 866 nt
Filed under: Hypocrella macrostroma
Lineage: Eukaryota; Fungi; Ascomycota; Sordariomycetes; Hypocreales; Clavicipitaceae
Description: eukaryotic LSU rRNA
Rfam family: Eukaryotic large subunit ribosomal RNA
Source: RNAcentral
UUGCCCCAGUAACGGCGAGUGAAGCGGCAGCAGCUCAAAUUUGAAAUCCGGCCCCCCCCGGCGGGGGCCCGAGUUGUACUUUGCAGAGGAUGCUCCCGGCCUGGACGCCUUCCGAGUUCCCUGGAACGGGACGCCGCAGAGGGUGAGAGCCCCGUCGGGUCGGACGCCCGGGCCCCUGUGGAGCUCCUUCGACGAGUCGAGUAGUUUGGGAAUGCUGCUCUAAACGGGAGGUAUAUGUCUUCUAAAGCUAAAUACCGGCCAGAGACCGAUAGCGCACAAGUAGAGUGAUCGAAAGGUGAAAAGCACUUUGGAAAGAGAGUUAAACAGCACGUGAAAUUGUUGAAAGGGAAGCGCUCGCGACCAGACCUGGGCCCGGCGGACCAGCCGGCGUUCCGCGCCGGCGCACCCCGCCGGUGUCCCAGGCCAGCAUCAGCCCGCGCCGGGGGAGAAGGGCGGCGGGAACGUGGCUCCCCAGGGAGUGUUAUAGCCCGCCGCGCGAUGCCCCGGGGCGGGCUGAGGCCCGCGCGCCUCGGCGCAAGGAUGCUGGCGUAAUGGUCGCCAGCGACCCGUCUUGAAACACGGACCAAGGAGUCGUCUUCGUAUGCGAGUGUUCGGGUGUCAAACCCCUGCGCGGAAUGAAAGUGAACGCUGGUGGGAGCCCCUCCCCCCCGGGGGGGGGGCGCACCACCGACCGAUCCCGAUGUGCUCGGACGGAUUUGAGUAGGAGCAUACGGGGCCGGACCCGAAAGAAGGUGAACUAUGCCUGUGCAGGGUGAAGCCAGAGGAAACUCUGGUGGAGGCUCGCAGCGGUUCUGACGUGCAAAUCGAUCGUCAAACAUGGGCAUGGGGGCGAAAGACUAAUCGAA